GGCUGUGUAGCUCAGUGGCAGUAGCGCGAGUCUCAUAAGCUCGAGGCCGGGAGUUCGAUCCUCCUCACAGCCA
RNAcentral lists this transfer RNA (73 nucleotides) under Candidatus Pacearchaeota archaeon CG10_big_fil_rev_8_21_14_0_10_35_13. RNAcentral describes it as "tRNA-Met". It matches the Rfam family "tRNA". Rfam says of the family: Transfer RNA (tRNA) molecules are approximately 80 nucleotides in length. Their secondary structure includes four short double-helical elements and three loops (D, anti-codon, and T loops). Further hydrogen bonds mediate the characteristic L-shaped molecular structure. tRNAs have two regions of fundamental functional importance: the anti-codon, which is responsible for specific mRNA codon recognition, and the 3' end, to which the tRNAs corresponding amino acid is attached (by aminoacyl-tRNA synthetases). tRNAs cope with the degeneracy of the genetic code in two manners: having more than one tRNA (with a specific anti-codon) for a particular amino acid; and 'wobble' base-pairing, i.e. permitting non-standard base-pairing at the 3rd anti-codon position. The record is from RNAcentral. Lineage: Archaea; Nanobdellati.